RNAcentral lists this ribosomal RNA (1078 nucleotides) under Monascostroma innumerosum. RNAcentral's name for it is "SSU rRNA". It matches the Rfam family "Eukaryotic small subunit ribosomal RNA", at positions 42 to 1130 of the family's 1831-position model. Lineage: Eukaryota; Fungi; Ascomycota; Dothideomycetes; Pleosporales. The record is from RNAcentral.
GAUUAAGCCAUGCAUGUCUAAGUAUAAGCAAUUAUACCGUGAAACUGCGAAUGGCUCAUUAAAUCAGUUAUCGUUUAUUUGAUAGUACCUUACUACUUGGAUAACCGUGGUAAUUCUAGAGCUAAUACAUGCUGAAAACCCCAACUUCGGGAGGGGUGUAUUUAUUAGAUAAAAAACCAACGCCCUUCGGGGCUUCUGGUGAUUCAUGAUAACUUCACGGAUCGCAUGGCCUUGCGCCGGCGACGGUUCAUUCAAAUUUCUGCCCUAUCAACUUUCGAUGGUAAGGUAUUGGCUUACCAUGGUUUCAACGGGUAACGGGGAAUUAGGGUUCGAUUCCGGAGAGGGAGCCUGAGAAACGGCUACCACAUCCAAGGAAGGCAGCAGGCGCGCAAAUUACCCAAUCCCGACACGGGGAGGUAGUGACAAUAAAUACUGAUACAGGGCUCUUUUGGGUCUUGUAAUUGGAAUGAGUACAAUUUAAACCUCUUAACGAGGAACAAUUGGAGGGCAAGUCUGGUGCCAGCAGCCGCGGUAAUUCCAGCUCCAAUAGCGUAUAUUAAAGUUGUUGCAGUUAAAAAGCUCGUAGUUGAAACUUGGGCCUGGCUGGCAGGUCCGCCUCACCGCGUGUACUUGUCCGGCCGGGCCUUUCCUUCUGGAGAACCUCAUGCCCUUCACUGGGUGUGUUGGGGAACCAGGACUUUUACUUUGAAAAAAUUAGAGUGUUCAAAGCAGGCCUUUGCUCGAAUACGUUAGCAUGGAAUAAUAGAAUAGGACGUGCGGUCCUAUUUUGUUGGUUUCUAGGACCGCCGUAAUGAUUAAUAGGGACAGUCGGGGGCAUCAGUAUUCAAUUGUCAGAGGUGAAAUUCUUGGAUUUAUUGAAGACUAACUACUGCGAAAGCAUUUGCCAAGGAUGUUUUCAUUAAUCAGUGAACGAAAGUUAGGGGAUCGAAGACGAUCAGAUACCGUCGUAGUCUUAACCGUAAACUAUGCCGACUAGGGAUCGGGCGAUGUUCUUUUUCUGACUCGCUCGGCACCUUACGAGAAAUCAAAGUUUUUGGGUUCUGGGGGGAGUAUGGUC